Molecule: long non-coding RNA, 565 nt
Filed under: Homo sapiens (human)
Lineage: Eukaryota; Metazoa; Chordata; Mammalia; Primates; Hominidae
Description: HSALNT0089630
Source: RNAcentral
CCAUGUAAGACGUGCCUGCUUCUCCUUCAUCUUCUGCCAUAAUUAUGAAGAAAAGGAGGCUCAGAGAGUUUAAGAAACUUACCCUCCUCACACCAUGGAUAACAGGCAGAGCCAAAAGCAAAUGCAGAUGAAGACGUUGAUGCUCAAAAGUCGCUAAUGAGAAGCUGAGCCAAGAGUCAGAUCCAAAGUCCUUCCAGCUCUGAAGCCUGCAUUGUUUCCAACGCAUGAUGUUGUCUGAAUGGUGAGCAAUGGAAGACAGAAGAUACUAACAUGGUAGAAAUUAUCCUGAGUGGGGAGAGAGAAGGCCCUGGGGUGCUGCGAGUGUCCUGGGCAGGCAGCAGGGAGCCCCUUUAGCCCUGACUAGCUUGGUUGCAUUUCUGAUGGGUUUGACAUCAACAGGCUCUGCUGAGUCCCAAUUUGGCUAGGUACCACCACUUGUAGCACAGGGCAGAUCACUCCAAUGCCUGCAGCAUUCAUUUCUCAAUUUUCAAAUAAAACUAGCUUUGUUUGAAGGACAAAGUGAGAUGAUUUUUGACAGCACUGGGUAGAUGCAAUAACACUUUGC